UCUAGAUAGAAAAUAGGUGCCCGUACCGCAAACCGACACAGGUAGUCAAGAUGAGAAUUCUAAGGUGAGCGAGCGAACUCUCGUUAAGGAACUCGGCAAAAUGACCCCGUAACUUCGGGAGAAGGGGUGCUCUUUAGGGUUAACGCCCAGAAGAGCCGCAGUGAAUAGGCCCAAGCGACUGUUUAUCAAAAACACAGGUCUCUGCUAAACCGUAAGGUGAUGUAUAGGGGCUGACGCCUGCCCGGUGCUGGAAGG
RNAcentral lists this ribosomal RNA (255 nucleotides) under Staphylococcus aureus. RNAcentral's name for it is "partial 23S ribosomal RNA". It matches the Rfam family "Bacterial large subunit ribosomal RNA", at positions 1622 to 1876 of the family's 2925-position model. The record is from RNAcentral. Lineage: Bacteria; Bacillati; Bacillota; Bacilli; Caryophanales; Staphylococcaceae.